Molecule: ribosomal RNA, 1338 nt
Filed under: Pseudomonas aeruginosa
Lineage: Bacteria; Pseudomonadati; Pseudomonadota; Gammaproteobacteria; Pseudomonadales; Pseudomonadaceae
Description: partial 23S ribosomal RNA
Rfam family: Bacterial large subunit ribosomal RNA
Source: RNAcentral
UCCAAGAAAAGCUUCUAAGCUUCAGGUAACCAGGAACCGUACCCCAAACCGACACAGGUGGUCGGGUAGAGAAUACCAAGGCGCUUGAGAGAACUCGGGUGAAGGAACUAGGCAAAAUGGCACCGUAACUUCGGGAGAAGGUGCGCCGGCUAGGGUGAAGGAUUUACUCCGUAAGCUCUGGCUGGUCGAAGAUACCAGGCCGCUGCGACUGUUUAUUAAAAACACAGCACUCUGCAAACACGAAAGUGGACGUAUAGGGUGUGACGCCUGCCCGGUGCCGGAAGGUUAAUUGAUGGGGUUAGCGCAAGCGAAGCUCUUGAUCGAAGCCCCGGUAAACGGCGGCCGUAACUAUAACGGUCCUAAGGUAGCGAAAUUCCUUGUCGGGUAAGUUCCGACCUGCACGAAUGGCGUAACGAUGGCGGCGCUGUCUCCACCCGAGACUCAGUGAAAUUGAAAUCGCUGUGAAGAUGCAGUGUAUCCGCGGCUAGACGGAAAGACCCCGUGAACCUUUACUGUAGCUUUGCACUGGACUUUGAGCCUGCUUGUGUAGGAUAGGUGGGAGGCUUUGAAGCGUGGACGCCAGUUCGCGUGGAGCCAUCCUUGAAAUACCACCCUGGCAUGCUUGAGGUUCUAACUCUGGUCCGUGAUCCGGAUCGAGGACAGUGUAUGGUGGGCAGUUUGACUGGGGCGGUCUCCUCCUAAAGAGUAACGGAGGAGUACGAAGGUGCGCUCAGACCGGUCGGAAAUCGGUCGCAGAGUAUAAAGGCAAAAGCGCGCUUGACUGCGAGACAGACACGUCGAGCAGGUACGAAAGUAGGUCUUAGUGAUCCGGUGGUUCUGUAUGGAAGGGCCAUCGCUCAACGGAUAAAAGGUACUCCGGGGAUAACAGGCUGAUACCGCCCAAGAGUUCAUAUCGACGGCGGUGUUUGGCACCUCGAUGUCGGCUCAUCACAUCCUGGGGCUGAAGCCGGUCCCAAGGGUAUGGCUGUUCGCCAUUUAAAGUGGUACGCGAGCUGGGUUUAGAACGUCGUGAGACAGUUCGGUCCCUAUCUGCCGUGGACGUUUGAGAUUUGAGAGGGGCUGCUCCUAGUACGAGAGGACCGGAGUGGACGAACCUCUGGUGUUCCGGUUGUCACGCCAGUGGCAUUGCCGGGUAGCUAUGUUCGGAAAAGAUAACCGCUGAAAGCAUCUAAGCGGGAAACUUGCCUCAAGAUGAGAUCUCACUGGGAACUUGAUUCCCCUGAAGGGCCGUCGAAGACUACGACGUUGAUAGGCUGGGUGUGUAAGCGUUGUGAGGCGUUGAGCUAACCAGUACUAAUUGCCCGUGAGGCUUGACCA